CCUACGGGUGGCAGCAGUGGGGAAUAUUGCACAAUGGGGGGAACCCUGAUCCAGCGACGCCGCGUGGGUGAAGAAGUAUUUCGGUAUGUAAAGCUCUAUCAGCAGGGAAGAAAGAAAUGACGGUACCUGACCAAGAAGCCCCGGCUAACUACGUGACAGCCGCCGCGGUAAUACGUAGGGGGCAAGCGUUAUUCGGAAUUACUGGGAGGAAAGGGGGCGAAGGCGGUAAUGCAAGUCUGAUGUGAAAUGCAGGAGAUCAACCCCUGAACUGCUUUGGAAACUAUGUGACUGGAGUGUGGGAGAGGUAGGUGGAAUUCCUAGUGUAGCGGUAAAAUGCGUAGAUAUUAGGAGGAAUACUAGUGGCGAAGGCGACUUACUGGACUGUAACUGACGUUGAGGCACGAAAGCGUGGGGAGCAAACAGGAUUAGAUACCCCAGUAGUC
RNAcentral lists this ribosomal RNA (443 nucleotides) under uncultured bacterium. RNAcentral describes it as "partial 16S ribosomal RNA". It matches the Rfam family "Bacterial small subunit ribosomal RNA", at positions 338 to 795 of the family's 1533-position model. The record is from RNAcentral.